GCGCCCGUAGCUCAGUUGGAUAGAGCAACUGACUUCUAAUCAGUAGGUCGCGGGUUCGAAUCCUGCCGGGCGUGCCA
This 77-nucleotide transfer RNA is filed under the name Candidatus Poribacteria bacterium. RNAcentral describes it as "tRNA-Arg". It matches the Rfam family "tRNA". From Rfam's summary of the family: Transfer RNA (tRNA) molecules are approximately 80 nucleotides in length. Their secondary structure includes four short double-helical elements and three loops (D, anti-codon, and T loops). The record is from RNAcentral. Lineage: Bacteria; Candidatus Poribacteria.